CGCGUAGGCGGUUUUAUAAGUCAGAUGUGAAAGCCCAUGGCUCAACCAUGGACGUGCAUUUGAAACUGUGAGACUUGAGUAUUGGAGGGGGUGGUGGAAUUCCCGGUGUAGAGGUGAAAUUCGUAGAUAUCGGGAGGAAUACCGGUGGCGAAGGCGACCACCUGGCCAAAUACUGACGCUAAGGCGCGAAAGCGUGGGGAGCAAACA
Molecule: ribosomal RNA, 207 nt
Filed under: uncultured delta proteobacterium
Lineage: Bacteria; Deltaproteobacteria
Description: partial 16S ribosomal RNA
Rfam family: Bacterial small subunit ribosomal RNA
Source: RNAcentral